Molecule: non-coding RNA, 1528 nt
Organism: Labrus bergylta (ballan wrasse)
Lineage: Eukaryota; Metazoa; Chordata; Actinopteri; Labriformes; Labridae
Source: RefSeq, a predicted model, not a curated record
UGAAUUUUGAUGUAACACGCGAUCAAGAAAGCGUCUGAGGUGCAGAGGAGUCUCUGCUCGGAUCUGUUAAGCAAUAGCUUCAGCACUUAAGGGGGGUUUUAUGUACUUCAGAUUGUUUGUUGAUUUCUUAAGAGACGUGUUUACCUCAAACACAUGAUGCAAAAAAGCUUUAUUUUUCUGAUUAUUAUUUGGAACACAUCUCCUUUUUCCCCAGGAAACACAGCUACAACAAAUCUUCUGGAGUACCCAUUGGGAUGUCGAGCUGUGAUACCGUGUCAGCUUAACAGAAGUGAUGCGAGCACUGCCGAAUGGUUUUACAAGAAGCAAGAACAUAGCAACAAAAAACGGAUACUUUUUCAAGACAAAACAGGAGUGAUAACCAAAGAGCAGCAUUUUCGAACCAAUUUGUUACUGCUAGAGAAUAAUUAUUCCCUGGUCAUUGUUUCUUUAACAGAGGAAGAGCAAGGGCUUUACUGGUGUGAAAUUUGUGUUCAAAACAAAUGUGUGAGUGAACAACAGACAGUCGUCAGUAUAAAGAAAGGUCAGAAAAAUAGAUAGAAACUCAAGAGACAUUCUUCAUUCGAGCAGGGCACAAUUUUACUCAUGCAUGUCCAAGUGAAUUCACAAACUUAAAAUGGACUUUUGAAGCCAGUGAAGUGACUGCAGACGGAAGCCCGGUUCAAAAUCGACUGUCAUACCUUAACCCUCUUACUUUAAACAAGUCUUUAAGGAUUUUUGAUGUCAAAUUAGAAAAUGCUGGAAAGUAUACGUGCUGGACACAUGGAUGUAAUGAAUACUGGAAGAAGCUACUUACCAUCAACUUGUGUGUGAUAAUAGUACAUCGCAAUGAGGAUUCAUCUGUUUCUUGUGCUGUGAUGUGUGACAUGGAAUCCAGGAACAUCAAACCAAACGGCACAUUCAAUAUGAGGGCAGGCACGUGGACGAUUUCAGUGCUUGUUGGUCGAAAUGGGUCUUUAAUUUGCACAACAAUGCCGACGUCUGGUGGAACUACCAGCACAAAGGGACCAGCAUAUGCUUUAAACAGCACAAGUGUUUCAACAGGCACAGAGCCCAUGCUGAUCCCUGUUAUUUCUGCAACAUUAACAGCCCUAACAUGCCUUCUUUUGAUGGCAAUUUUAAUUUACUACCUCAGAUCAAGACUACGAGGAGUGUUUCCCGUUCAGCUUUGUUGCUGUGGCUUGAAUAACAAGGAGGAAGAGGAGACUCAAGUGACUUAUUCAUCCAUUGUCAUCAGGAGAUCUGCUGACAUAAGAAACGCUCCUACGACUAACAAUGAUUGUGUGUAUAGUGAAAUAAAUGUGGAAUUCAAAAAUGAAGAUGUUCCUGCCAAGACAAUCCCCACUCUCACUUAAAAAUAGUAAUGAUUUUUGUGUAUAGUUUUUUUGACUUCCCCUUGUAAAACAUUUUGUAUUAAUAGAAGUGUUACUUAAAUUUUGUAUUAACAGCAGCAGACAAGAAAAUAGGUGGCUGAAUUAUCUUUGCAAUAAAAAACGAUUUUGUAAACCUC